This 248-nucleotide ribosomal RNA is filed under the name uncultured Oscillospiraceae bacterium. Its description in RNAcentral is "partial 16S ribosomal RNA". It matches the Rfam family "Bacterial small subunit ribosomal RNA", at positions 524 to 771 of the family's 1533-position model. The record is from RNAcentral. Lineage: Bacteria; Bacillati; Bacillota; Clostridia; Eubacteriales; Oscillospiraceae.
UACGUAGGUGGCAAGCGUUGUCCGGAUUUACUGGGUGUAAAGGGCGUGUAGACGGGACUGCAAGUCAGAUGUGAAAUUUAUGGGCUCAACCCAUAACCUGCAUUUGAAACUGUGGUUCUUGAGUGAUGGAGAGGUAAGCGGAAUUCCUAGUGUAGCGGUGAAAUGCGUAGAUAUUAGGAGGAACACCGGUGGCGAAGGCGGCUUACUGGACAUUAACUGACGUUGAGGCGCGAAAGUGUGGGGAGCAA